This is a long non-coding RNA of Passer domesticus (house sparrow), 4031 nucleotides long. RefSeq lists it as uncharacterized. The record is from RefSeq and is a predicted model, not a curated record. The transcript is spliced from 2 exons. NCBI's taxonomy places the organism in Eukaryota, Metazoa, Chordata, Aves, Passeriformes, Passeridae.
AAUCCAUUUCCCCCAGAGUCAGCCACUUAGUCAAAGCCAUGACACCAUUUUGCAGCCAGGAUAUUUUCUCCCCUGGCUAAUGGCUGAAAGCUGAGUUGAAGGAACUCUGGAGGGAACGUGGCUUCACCACAGAAAUGGAGAGAAGAGGGUUUCUGUGGAGCUUGUCCAGUGUAUUUUUGAUUGUAUCAAAAUUUCACCUGACACUGGGAGCUGUUACCCCAGUGCCUGCUGCAGCUCGUCCUGGUAAUCACUGACCUCAGCCAUUGGCUUCACCUGCUCCAAGUGAGACACAUGUGGAGAUUUGCCUGAUUUUCCACUGCACUGGGUGUGACCCCAGCUCAAAGCAGUCAGGGUGGUUGUGCUUUCCAGCCAAGGAGUGCACGUGGUGGAGCUACUGAGCAGGCUUGAGAGCAUCCUGGAGAGGAAAGCAGAAAUGGGGAAGAUGCUGGAAAAGUGCUGAAAUGGUCAAGACAGUUCUUAGAAGGUCUGUUUCAUUAUUGUGAGGCAUGUGAGUGACAGCAAUGUGUUGUGUGGGGGUUUAUAUAUAUAUGUGUGUGUGUGUAUAUAUAUCUGUAUGUAUGCACAUGUAUUAUCCUCAUUACAUAACACUGCAGCUCCAAGGAGUCAGGACUGAAUUUGCAUAGGAAAAAGCCAAAACCCACUGCCUUUGCAUUACCUAGAGAAAAGCCCGACAGGACAAGCCUCAACAACAAACACAGACAAUGUGCCAUCCCUGAUGGUUCCAGUUCUGUGAAAUCUCUGAGCACACAGGCACUGGGCUGGUUUGUGGUGAUGCCCACACGUGCACAGAGAGCACCCAGCAGCGAUGCAGAGUGGAGCCUCUGAGCGCAGCAGUGACACUGGAGAGGCUCCACAAGAGCUGACCCUGGCCCAGGCUGGUGCUCAGAGAAAGCCCUGCAGCUCAGCCCACUCGCUGCUAUCAGCUGGCUGCUCCAGCAGAGCUGCUGCUGAGGGAACAGCAGAGCCCCACGGCCCUGAGGAGCGCUGGGCUCACAAGCAGCAGCUCAUGCCACCCCAACAACUGACCCUUCUGAAGGGACUCUGGUCAAUGCAGCCCCUUCUUGAUCUUGAGCAUGGAUUUUUAGUGUCUGUGGUACCUGCUGAAGAAGCAGAGGCACUGGCCUCUUACUUCUCCUUCUGGAGCCAUUUUAAGCAUAGGCAGCUUCUUGAGGCUGACCAAGAAAGCUUCCAAAGGUGAGUUUAGAUCCACGUUAUCUUUCCUGGGAUUGACAAGGUAUUCAAAGACUGAACACCAGCAGCAACCUGAGGGAAAAUACUGCUUACUUUCCUCUUGCUCUUUGUAGGACUUGGUAAAUCCUUCUUUCCUAGAGAAUUAAUCUUGCCUUUCUUAGUCCUGCUGAGGACACAGGGCUCAGUGCUCUUUCUGCCUGAAGAACUGUGACAAAAUCCAAAUUCUUGCUCUGCUCUCAUCAGUCCUGUAGGAACAAAUCAGAUUUUGCCCGAUCCUAUGUUUCCCAUUCAACUUCUUAUACAACAAAGGAAAGUGUUAAUUCCUUUCAUGAAGGGGGGUUUGAGCAGUUCUGGCACGUCCUGCUGCAGAUGGGCAAUCCCCAGAGAGGACUUUGUCAGGCAGGGAUGGGCCAGAUUGCUUGGAGCCCAGUUCUCAUAACUGGCCCAGCUCCCUUUAGUGAGGGGUCUAGCAACCCCCAUCACACACUUGGCCAGAGAAAUAAGAUUCCCAUGCUCCUGCUUUUGUAGGGUUUGGAUUUUCCUGCAACAAGGUCUAUCUGUAGUUCCUGCUGGUGCUUCAGCCGUUGCCAUAGCAUAACCCAGGGACAUUCACAUGGAAGUACACAAGAAAUGAGCAGAAAGCAGAGCCUUUGAUCAAAUGAGACAUUUCUAUGCUUUUAAAUGGAGAUAGGAGCCUUAUAAAGGAAUGACUGGAUAUGUGUAAUUCAUUACUAUUAUUUCAUAACCACAAUAAUCUUGAGAUUCCUAUGGGUUUGCACCAAAAAGCCUAGAGAGUGAUAAUCCAGUGUUUGAGCUCUGAAUACAGGUAUUGCUCACAGGGAAUAAACUCCUGGCAGGAACACUUCAAUAAACUCUAUCAUCAAGCUGAAUGAUACUUUAAAAUAAUUGUUUAACUUUUACUAACAGCCAUUAUUACUUUAAUGAAGUUUCCCAGGAUGCUUUAAACCAAGAGAGAAUGUUUGCAGUCCUGUGCAUAGAGACACCACACAUUACAUAUUCAACAGGAAAGGUCUGGCAGAGGAGCCCUUUUGUUUAUUCUUAUUUCCUUUUAACCAAUGCUAAACUGAGCUCCUAGUCUCAUGCUGUUAAGCCCCACACUUCAGUAUAGCUGAAGCUUCCCUUGGCAAAUAACUGAGCAGCAAUUUAACCCAGUGAGCCUCACCUUAGUGAGCUGGAUUUGCUGCCAAAGAGAGCUGGCCUGCUUUUCUUUUUUAGGUUUUUUUUUCCCCCCCUUUCCCCCACCCAAGUCUAUUCAAAUAGUUUCUUUUGCAGCAAUCUGUUCUCUUCCUCUGGGCCUGAUGCUGUUGCUGAGGUCCCCUUGGCAUGGAGCUCUUCAGCUUCUGCUCAUCUGCAUUUCUUCAGCCCCUGCCAGCCUUGGUCCCUCCCUCCCCACUGGUCUCUCAGGGCUUGUUCCAGGAGCAGCUGUCUGUCCUUCCUCCAUGCCUAAAGCCAGAAGGUGCUUUGCCACGUGCCACUUUUCAGUAUUUUCUCCCCAAAUACUCCCAUGCUUACAGAGAAAGCACACGCAGCAGCUUUAGCUUUUUGGCUGCGUAACAACCAAUGCAAAACACGUCUGCGAUAAAAUUGCAUUUUCUCAUGGUAAAUGGGCUCCCCAGUGAACCUCUCAGACUCCCCACUGUCUGAGCUCUCAUUAAGUCCAGCCCAGUGGUGGUAGGGUAAUGUUGCUUCAGUGGACAUUUAUUUGACUUUAAUAUACACCAAAUUGCUUGUGGAAAGCUUUUGUCAAAAAGUAAAACUCCAGAUCCCAGAACUCUGUCUCUUAUCUAGUGAGAGAUUGCCUAUAAAUCCAAGUAGCAUGUUGGAGAUUGCAAAAUCUCUGACAAAUGGAGAGUGGGGUAAAAAUAAGAAAGUCAGCUGUCAUUGUGUGUGUUCUGGUCCCAUGUUCAUGCUCGUGGCUGGCUGAUGCAAUUUCUUCUUGGAACUCACACAAAGGAUCCAUCCCAAGACAGCAGCUGAAGAAGGAUUUGUAUCCAGUGACUUUUGGUUCAGUGAGACCAUUAAUGCUCUGAACACAAGUCUAUAAAUGUGAUGAUAUGCCACGGUUUAUUCAGGGCAGCUCUGAGUUUCUUAAUCAAGAUGGUUAUAAUAAUGAUACUGCUUUGGAAACUGGUCAAAUGGAACCUGAUAAAUCUCCUUAACAAUCUGAUGGGUAUGGUUUGUAAAAUUCUAGAGAUGCUUGACAACUGCACAGCAGUCUGCAUUGUCCCAGAAUAAAACUUGGUCCAACACUAUAAAAAGAAUGUAGCAUAUUUCAAUAUUCUAAAAGUGUACACUUGGAUGUCUUAGUUUGGCCAUUCCUGUAAUGGCCUCUUCUAAUACAAUUUAAUUGCUUUCUUAUUUUACAUUUACCCAUACAAGUUCUUUAUUUUACAAUCAAUGAAACUAUAUGCAUUUGGAGGCAGCUUUUUUCCUUCAUUUUCUUUUCAAAGAGAAAUUUACAAAAAUUUAAAUAUAUGGCCAAGAUGUUGUAGUAAGAAAAAGUUAUCUGCUCAGAUAAGCUAUAGAAAACCAAAUGUUUAAAGAAAAUACUUGCCUUUUUUAUUCACAAAGGUGAAGAAAAUACUGUCUUGUGGAGGAAUAUUUGCUGUAUGGGGAUUUGCCUCUGAAAUAGCUGGGGAUCUCAAAGGUUGCAUAUGAACAAGAUUUAGGACUCCAUUCUACUUCCCUUUGCAUAGAUAAGAAUUAUUUUGCUAUAUUGAGAGUUUCAUGAAAGAAAGUCUUUGCUGAUGUAAGUGAUAAUGGCCUAAAGUGGCCAAAUAAAAUGAUGAUGUCACAUA